RNAcentral lists this ribosomal RNA (552 nucleotides) under Triticum aestivum (bread wheat). RNAcentral's name for it is "partial small subunit ribosomal RNA". The record is from RNAcentral. Lineage: Eukaryota; Viridiplantae; Streptophyta; Magnoliopsida; Poales; Poaceae.
AUGCUUCCUCGGAAUAUCGACGUUGAUGUCGAGUAUACCAGGGAAGACAAACCUCCGCAAAUUGCUGCAGUUCUGCAGUUAUGCGUGGAGGAUCUCGUCCUGGUAUACCACAUCACGGCGGCAACCAAAUGGCCCAAGGAACUCCGCCCGCUCCUGCAGGAGAAGAAGCUGUACACCUUUGUUGGCUUCUCCAUUGGAGGCGACAAGGAUAAGCUGAAGUUGUCUGGUUUAGAGAUCAACCCCGACAAGUACAUCGACUUGCAGCGCAAAUGGAGAGUUCCAAACAAUGGAAAGAAGUGGCAGUCUUUGGCUGAGUUUGCAGGCAGCCUCAUCCACCCAUGCUACAAGGAAAUGAAGGAGAAGAUCGACAGGAAAUCGGACCACCUACUAUGGGGGGACAGCCCACUGCCAAACAAGCUCAUCGAGUACGCCGCGAAAGAUGCGUACGUCACCUACGAGGCAUGGAAGAAAAUCAAAAUCACCAAAGAAGGUUUGGAGCUCUGGCAAGAGGCGGAGGAUCAUUGGGAUGACCCCUACUACUGGGGAUAUUGA